AUUGAACGCUGGCGGAAUGCUUUACACAUGCAAGUCGAGCGGCAGCGCGGGGGGCAACCCUGGCGGCGAGCGGCGAACGGGUGAGUAACAUAUCGGAACGUACCCUGUCGUGGGGGAUAACUAUCCGAAAGGAUAGCUAAUACCGCAUACGACCUGAGGGUGAAAGACGGGGGAGUCGCAAGACCUCGCGCGAUAGGAGCGGCCGAUAUCGGAUUAGCUAGUUGGUGGGGUAAAGGGACUCACCAAGGCGACGAUCCGUAGCUGGUCUGAGAGGACGACCAGCCACACUGGAACUGAGACACGGUCCAGACUCCUACGGGAGGGCAGCAGUGGGGAAGUUUUGUACGAAUAGGG
Molecule: ribosomal RNA, 354 nt
Filed under: uncultured bacterium
Lineage: Bacteria
Description: bacterial SSU rRNA
Rfam family: Bacterial small subunit ribosomal RNA
Source: RNAcentral